GACGAACGCUGGCGGCGUGCUUAACACAUGCAAGUCGAACGGAAAGGCCCUGCUUUUGUGGGGUGCUCGAGUGGCGAACGGGUGAGUAACACGUGAGUAACCUGCCCUUGACUUUGGGAUAACUUCAGGAAACUGGGGCUAAUACCGGAUAGGAGCUCCUGCUGCAUGGGGGGGGUUGGAAAGUUUCGGCGGUUGGGGAUGGACUCGCGGCUUAUCAGCAUGUUGGUGGGGUAGUGGCUUACCAAGGCUUUGACGGGUAGCCGGCCUGAGAGGGUGACCGGCCACAUUGGGACUGAGAUACGGCCCAGACUCCUACGGGAGGCAGCAGUGGGGAAUAUUGCACAAUGGGCGGAAGCCUGAUGCAGCAACGCCGCGUGCGGGAUGACGGCCUUCGGGUUGUAAACCGCUUUCGCCUGUGACGAAGCGUGAGUGACGGUAAUGGGUAAAGAAGCACCGGCUAACUACGUG
This 468-nucleotide ribosomal RNA is filed under the name uncultured bacterium. RNAcentral's name for it is "partial 16S ribosomal RNA". It matches the Rfam family "Bacterial small subunit ribosomal RNA", at positions 28 to 507 of the family's 1533-position model. The record is from RNAcentral.